Long non-coding RNA from Hemiscyllium ocellatum (epaulette shark), 3146 nucleotides. RefSeq lists it as uncharacterized. The record is from RefSeq and is a predicted model, not a curated record. Lineage: Eukaryota; Metazoa; Chordata; Chondrichthyes; Orectolobiformes; Hemiscylliidae. The transcript is spliced from 4 exons.
GGGUUUAAUUCACAUCCCCCUUAUUAUCAAAGCAAUAGGCUGGCCGGUGAAAAUUGCGAUCAUCCUGUUUAUUAAAAGGGCUCAGCAGGGAAUGAGUCACUGGUACAGACGGUUCCUCUAAUUCUUUCCAAGUAUUUUUUUUGCAAGCCUGUGUUAAAUUCUAAUGUCUACGUUAGCAAUCUUCCUUUAUUAGGACUGGUGUAAAAGCUCAAUCUGGUCUUAAAAUUCGCCUUCGAGACCGAGCAAGCGAAGAUUCUGUGACAUUCAUCGUCUCCCCUCACCUGAACCAACUAUUUUCAGGUUCAUAUCUGGGAACAGUCACGUGAGCCACAUGAUCAGCGAGCGGGUGCAGUUGGAAAACGAUUUUAUACGGGAGCGGCUGUCAUCAUUUGUUCACUGGGAAAGAAUUUUGUAAACACAGUUAAAAAUCUGCGGAGACGGCAGACCUGUGAAUCCAAACAGAGAAUACUGGAGAAACUCAGCAGAACUGCUCACCGUCUACAAACUUCGAAUCCUGACCCUCUGAUGGAAUGUUGGGUUCAGUUCAUCCUCAUCCAUGUUUCUUCACUAAGGCCGAGCCUGCAUUUUGUUCGAGGUGUUGAGCUUUCAACCGGUCCAACAUCAAGUAGAUUCUCGAUUUAAAACCACCGAGGCCGCUGCUCCCUCUGUCUCGGUCGCAAACAGGGAGCAGUUGGCGCGGGUUCAGGCUCACUUUUGAAGCCGGGGUCAGUGACUUUCGAAAGAAACGAAAUGUUUAAACAACAAAGAAAAAUGAAUUAGCGACGACCAUGGCGCCACAUAGGUUAGAAUCAAAAGAAUGAGGCGUGUUUUCAUAUUGAUACCUUCAAACCCGAAAUUUAAUCAAGAGGACAUGGGAAUCCUGUAACAAACUGGGCAGAUCUGGAUGUGGAAUAUUAUGUGAAUAAUUUAAAAGAAAUACGGGAUGACGUUUUAAGUGUACAAGACCCGGUGUGUAAUUUAUUCAUCACGGUGUGUUGAGACCUGUUUAACAGACCCAUUAGUAUCAAGAGCAGUUACGUGACCAGAGAAGGGGAGCAGAAAGCAAUCUCCUCCAGAACGGAUUUCAUCAAAUUGGAACAAAUGCCGCCUGAUCCAUGUGUGUUUUCGGCACCGGAGUCUCUUCCAUUAACUACAUCAAUUCUUUACAACUGCCUCCUCCAGACUGUCCACUAAUCGCCCGAGCAACGCAUGAGGUUGGCUUCAUAGGGGGAGGCAGAAUAUGUCAGGCUUCUGUGUAAUUCGCCGAGAAACCCCAGCACAGCUCAGGAAAAACAAAUAGAAUAGCACUUCUUUGGUGAUUUGCAUUAAUGAAAAUACAGUGAACUGCGUAUGAAUGCCAUAAUUCGGCGCCAUUUUAAUUACAGAAUUAUAAAAAGAGAUCAUUGAGACAAAGUUCAUCUUUUGUCCCCUUCACGAUUCCCGAGUGGCUGCAGGUCGCCAUCGCCAACACCGAUGUUUCCUCAUUAACCUGCGCAGAGAUCUUAAUACCCGCCUUUGGACUUGAACCCGGGCCUCUCGGCACAGAGGUAGGAACACCACCACUGUGCCACAAGGCCCCGAAAUGUAGAAGAUUUUUUUUAUUACAGCAAUGUAACUUUCAGAUAUUUUUGAUCAACCGGUUCAAAUAUAUUAUGACAGCUGUGAAACAGGUGGGACCUCAACCUGGCCAUCCUGACUCAGAGGCAGGGACACUACCAUUGUGUCACAAGGCUAUUAACGAUUGACAUCUGGUUCUGUAGUCCACUGAAAAUGGAGUCAUUACAGUUGUCCAUUUUAUAUAAUUGUUUUGUUUUUAAACUGGGUCAGUGUGAUGGGGUUAGUCAUGUAUUAAUCAAUUUCUAGGUGAUUUUUAACAGUGUCCCUAACCAACAUUCUUUGGCAACGUUUACUAGAGAUGGAGGACACAGUUAUAAUCUGCUCCUUAUAAAUGUUACACAACUAUGUUUCAAAGGAUAACACGGUCCAUGUAAAAUUAUUAUUUUACAACUUGUCUAUUGGGGGAGGGAGAUAUCGGGGUCAGUGGAGCUGCCCCUUCUCCCAAUAAACCAUUAGUCGCUUCUAUGUUACAUGAUAAAUGAUAACGUGCCUCCCUCUCACACUAUGAGCUGUAUCCCACCUUUGCAACUCCAUUUUGAUUUCCCCUCUUCCCCCCUCUAUCUCGUUCUCUCUCACUCACUUUUGAUAGUUUGCACUUUCCUUAAUGAGCUUUGCAGGUAAACGAUUCAAUUAAAAGACACGAGUGAUUUACUGGUGGUGGUUAAUGAAUGAAAAAACAUCACGAGUGAUUUGAUGAUGAAGAAGAGAAAACGUUGAGUUGUAACAGCACUUCUGGACAUAAAAAAGGAAAAGCAAUUUUUAAAUCCUACUCAAGUGUUUGACGAAAGUUCAGGCACUUUCUUUAUAGUUCAUCCAUGACAUGGAGGUGCCGGAGUUGGACUGAGGUGGCAGUUACCUGACGGAGGAGCAGCGCUCCGAAAGUUUCUACUUUCACAUAAACCUGUUGGACCAUAACCUGGUGUCCUCUGAUUGUUAACUUCAUUGUACAGGACAGCCUUAACAAUCAAGCUGGAGAAACUCCUGUUAAAAUUCGCCCCACGCCUUUGUGCAGGUCUAUUCUAGAGGCAUUUGCACCGCAUCUUUGCGAGGAAUUUGAGUAAGCGAGGGGUCGGCUAUUCAUCCCCUUAAAACUCUACAGCGAUCCAAGCUGGAUCUGGGCCUAUUUGGGAUCUUAGUUUCACCAACGCGUCCUAGCUCUUUAACCUCCAUCCAUGUCAAAUUCUGAAAUUCCCACGUUAGAAACAGUCUGACCUAACAUUGGGACACAGACAAAUUUUAACUUUACACCUUCAAUGCAUUAUCUGAGCUGAGAUGGCUCAGAUAUUGCUAAAAGCUAUCUUGAGAAUGUAACUUUAAAAAAAGUUCUGGGAUAUACAUAUGAAAGAACCGAAACUAACAUGACCAUUCUAAAGGAGGAAACACUUAAGCUAAAUUUGUUUAAUAUUACAUUCUAAUGCACUGCAAUCCUGUUGCAAUAAAUUCUGUGAUGUGAUACUUCUCCACAACCACCAGGUGAAGGAGCGGCGCUCCGAAAGCUAGUGCUUCCAAAUAAACAUGCUGGACUAUAA